Molecule: non-coding RNA, 152 nt
Filed under: Nomascus leucogenys (northern white-cheeked gibbon)
Lineage: Eukaryota; Metazoa; Chordata; Mammalia; Primates; Hylobatidae
Source: Rfam by way of RNAcentral
GCCGGGCGUGGCAGCGUGCGCCUGUAAUCCCAGCUACGCAGGAGGCUGAGGCAGAAGAAUUGCUAGAACCCGGGAGGUGGAGGUUGCAGUGAGUCGAGAUGGAGCCAUUGCACUACGGCCUGCCUGGGUGACAGAGCAAGACUCUGUCUCUU